RNAcentral lists this ribosomal RNA (253 nucleotides) under uncultured bacterium. RNAcentral describes it as "partial 16S ribosomal RNA". It matches the Rfam family "Bacterial small subunit ribosomal RNA", at positions 524 to 776 of the family's 1533-position model. The record is from RNAcentral.
UACGGGGGGGGCAAGCGUUGUUCGGAAUUAUUGGGCGUAAAGGGCUCGUAGGUGGCCAACUAAGUCAGCCGUGAAAUCCCUCGGCUUAACCGGGGAACUGCGUCUGAUACUGGAUGGCUUGAGUUCGGGAGAGGGAUGCGGAAUUCCAGGUGUAGCGGUGAAAUGCGUAGAUAUCAGGAGGAACACCUGUGGUGUAGACAGCUUACUGGACCAUUUCUGACGCUGAGACACGAAAGCGUGGGUAGCAAACAGG